UGGGAGCUGCAGGAUUCGUUCUGUCUCCUGUGGAAGGAAAACACAGCUCUGCAUCUUCCUGUGCCAGCAAAGGAAUCAGUUCUGGAAUACAGCAAGUGUGACAAUGCCUUUCCUGAGUCAGGAAAGUCAUGGCAUGGAGUUGUUUUUCAUCUGAAGGCCCUCAGACCCUCUGAGCAGCUCCCUGGGGAUUCCGAGUGGACAGAAACAGCCUCUGCCACAGCUUUGUUAGCCAAGCACGGAAUUCAACUUGUUAUUUUCACUUGCCUGUGCUGGCUCACAAGUGACUCAGAAUUUGAUCAAUACUGCUGGUGGCUGUUGGUGCAGCAACUGAUGGGGAGCUGGAGGAGAAUUAUUCUGCUGAAAGCCUCGAGAAAAAUCAGUCAGAGAAGGCUGUGCCGCCAGAGCCCCAUCCCGUCACGCUCAGACAAAAUCCUCAGAAAUCCCACCUUAAAAACCACACUGGAAACACCAGGAGGAAAGUAUCAAGACAAGCAGUCCUUGGGAAUGUAUGGAAUUGACACAGAAGUCAUGGAGCAACUGAGCAGUGACAGGACUGGAAAGUCUCACGUAUUCCAUGACUGCAGGUUACUGGCAGGGAAUUGAAGAUGCACUUGGCAAAGGAAAUGGAUUUUGCCAACAACUGGAAGUUCUCAGUGCCCUCGUGCCAUGGAAGUUCUGCAUCCUGUUCUGCCUGGAAGUGCCAGCCAUGAGGCAGCGCUGGGGUUUUUACUGGAA
This 735-nucleotide long non-coding RNA is filed under the name Chloebia gouldiae (Gouldian finch). RNAcentral's name for it is "Erythrura gouldiae (Gouldian finch) lncRNA (ENSEGOG00005014774.1)". The record is from RNAcentral. Lineage: Eukaryota; Metazoa; Chordata; Aves; Passeriformes; Passeridae.